GCUUGCUUCAGCAAUGCAUAUACUAAAAUUGGAACAAUACAGAAAAGAUGAUCAUGACCCCUGUGCAAAGAUGACAUGCAAAUUCGUGAAGUAUUUCAUAUUUUU
Molecule: small nuclear RNA, 105 nt
Organism: Cebus imitator (Panamanian white-faced capuchin)
Lineage: Eukaryota; Metazoa; Chordata; Mammalia; Primates; Cebidae
Source: Ensembl